AGCCAGACUCCUACGGGAGGCAGCAGUGGGGGAUAUUGCACAAUGGGGGAAACCCUGAUGCAGCGACGCCGCGUGAGUGAAGGAGCGUUUCGGCGCGUAAAGCUCUCUCAGCAGGGAAGACAAACUGCCCCGGAAGGGGCAGCCGGACGGUACCUGACCAAGAAGCCCCGGCUAACUACGUGCCAGCAGCCGCGGUAAUACGGAGGAUGCGAGCGUUAUCCGGAUUUAUUGGGUUUAAAGGGUGCGUAGGCGGGCAUUUAAGCCGGCGGUCAAAUGUCGGGGCUCAACCCCGGCCUGCCGUCGGAACUGGGUGCCUUGAGUGGGCGAGAAGUAUGCGGAAUGCGUGGUGUAGCGGUGAAAUGCAUAGAUAUCACGCAGAACCCCGAUUGCGAAGGCAGCAUACCGGCGCCCUACUGACGCUCAGGCACGAAAGCGUGGGUAUCGAACAGGAUUAGAUACCCGAGUAGU
RNAcentral lists this ribosomal RNA (468 nucleotides) under uncultured bacterium. Its description in RNAcentral is "bacterial SSU rRNA". It matches the Rfam family "Bacterial small subunit ribosomal RNA", at positions 329 to 794 of the family's 1533-position model. The record is from RNAcentral.